This 429-nucleotide ribosomal RNA is filed under the name Pseudomonadota bacterium. RNAcentral's name for it is "Proteobacteria bacterium partial 16S ribosomal RNA". It matches the Rfam family "Bacterial small subunit ribosomal RNA", at positions 355 to 776 of the family's 1533-position model. The record is from RNAcentral. Lineage: Bacteria; Pseudomonadati; Pseudomonadota.
UGGGGAAUAUUGGACAAUGGGCGAAAGCCUGAUCCAGCCAUGCCGCGUGUGUGAAGAAGGUCUUCGGAUUGUAAAGCACUUUAAGUUGGGAGGAAGGGCAGUAAGCGAAUACCUUGCUGUUUUGACGUUACCGACAGAAUAAGCACCGGCUAACUCUGUGCCAGCAGCCGCGGUAAUACAGAGGGUGCAAGCGUUAAUCGGAAUUACUGGGCGUAAAGCGCGCGUAGGUGGUUCGUUAAGUUGAAUGUGAAAGCCCCGGGCUCAACCUGGGAACUGCAUCCGAAACUGGCGAGCUAGAGUAUGGCAGAGGGUGGUGGAAUUUCCUGUGUAGCGGUGGAAUGCGUAGAUAUUGGCGGGAACACCAGUGGCGAAGGCGACCACCUGGGCUCAUACUGACACUGAGGUGCGAAAGCGUGGGGAGCAAACAGG